This is a long non-coding RNA of Mesocricetus auratus (golden hamster), 1433 nucleotides long. RefSeq lists it as uncharacterized. The transcript is spliced from 4 exons. The record is from RefSeq and is a predicted model, not a curated record. Lineage: Eukaryota; Metazoa; Chordata; Mammalia; Rodentia; Cricetidae.
AAAGGGUAUGGGAAAGUGGUAGGGUGGAGAUCCCUGUUUUCCCUUUAAAACUGAGGUGGGAGCUGGAAAUGCACAGGAACAUGUCCAGAUAAAAUAAGUGGUUUUGUGAUGGAGACCAUGGGAGCUAAGUGGGAGGAAAGAGAGAAAAGACGAUUGUGGGUGAAGCAGGGGGAACACCUGGAAACAUCUCCAGAGAAAAGACUUCCUCCACGAAAGCCAGGGUCCUUCAAGGAGCUGAAUCCGGGGCAAAGGUUAAGUCCAUAGAUUGACUGGCUGUUUGGUCGUAAAGCACUUGGUGGCCAUUUCUUGAAGCAGGAUGCAGGCGAGUAUUGAUCUAAAGGUGAUUAGCACCCCUGUCACCUUGAUGUGGGACUUCUGCGCGUGGGCUAUGAUGAAGGAACCAGCCAUAAGCACCAUGUGGAUGGAAGAUAAAGUGAUCUGCUUGCCACUUUCCUGUCUCCUGUUUCCUUGAUGUCAUAGAUCUUGUAGGAUUGGCCCUUCUGUGUUUGGAAUUGUGUCAUCUAAGCCUUUGGUAAGAGUCUCUACAUGUUCAGUGUAAUUCUUCUGAAAAAUUUUCAUCUGUAGUCGGUUGAAUUUUUGGGUGUGGAAACUAGAACAGAUGUCUGUAGCCCUUAAAAUUUCCUUAUUUUCAUCUCUAUGCUAAUCAAGUUGUAUAACAAUUUUUGUUCCAAGUCAGUGUGCAUUAUUGUUACUAGGCACAUUAUAUUUUUGCUAGGUUAAAAGGCUCAGAAAUAAUAUAAAUUCUUCCUCGUAUAAUUUUUAUUUUUUUCUCGGUUACUAUGGUUUUGUAAGUAUUUAGGAAAGUGAAGGUUGAAGAACAAAGUGAAGCCAGAGGAUGAGGAGGAGUUCUAUAUAAUGCUGGCCUCUAGACAUGACAUCACUAUUGCACUCAUCAACUCACAGUAACUGUGAGUAUAUUUUUCCAUUACAGUUUGCGAUGAUCGUUUCCCUCCAAAUUCCCACAUCACCAGAGGGUCUAUAGAUACUGUUAUCUUCCCCCCAGACCACUUUCUUGGAGCUGUGAGUCUGUCUAUAUUAAUCUGGACCAUUAGUUUUCCAGCUCAAUGGUAGAGAGUCCUUGGCUUCAGGAUGCCAUAGUGGUUGCUCUUGAUUAAAUACCCUUGCUUUGCUUGAUUAAACCUUCCAGAGAAAAGUGUGGUGGGAAUUUAUACUUCCCUUAUGGCCAGUCUUCCUCUUAUCCUCAAUAAAUAGACGGCAGUACUUCAUUGCCUCCGCACAGUUCUGCAGGGUCACUGGCUGACUUGGGCCAAUGAAUUAUGAGUAGGAGUCAUAUGCAUGUACCAUUGGUCAAAGCAAUUUCUUUCUCCAUGGAGGAAGCCACGUGCUGAGAAUAUUUUAAAAAUAUCCUGAAUUGAUAAAUUCAAUAGAAGUCUUUAACUUUGUAGCCUCUC